GAUAAACGCUGGCGGCGUGCUUAACACAUGCAAGUCGAACGGAGUAUUCCUCCCGAGACCGAGGAAGCUUGCUUCUGAAGAAUCAAUUGGAAUACUUAGUGGCGGACGGGUGAGUAACGCGUGGGUAACCUGCCUCACACAGGGGGAUAACAGUUGGAAACGACUGUUAAUACCGCAUAAGCGCACAGUAUCGCAUGGUACGGUGUGAAAAACUCCGGUGGUGUGAGAUGGACCCGCGUCUGAUUAGCUAGUUGGCAGGGUAACGGCCUACCAAAGCAACGAUCAGUAGCCGACUUGAGAGAGUGAUCGGCCACAUUGGGACUGAGACACGGCCCAGACUCC
Molecule: ribosomal RNA, 342 nt
Filed under: uncultured Coprococcus sp.
Lineage: Bacteria; Bacillati; Bacillota; Clostridia; Lachnospirales; Lachnospiraceae
Description: bacterial SSU rRNA
Rfam family: Bacterial small subunit ribosomal RNA
Source: RNAcentral